UACGUAGGGUGCGAGCGUUGUCCGGAAUUAUUGGGCGUAAAGAGCUCGUAGGCGGUUUGUCGCGUCGGCCGUGAAAACUUGGGGCUUAACUCCAAGCUUGCGGUCGAUACGGGCAGACUUGAGUUCGGCAGGGGAGACUGGAAUUCCUGGUGUAGCGGUGAAAUGCGCAGAUAUCAGGAGGAACACCGGCGGCGAAGGCGGGUCUCUGGGCCGACACUGACGCUGAGGAGCGAAAGCAUGGGGAGCGAACAGG
RNAcentral lists this ribosomal RNA (253 nucleotides) under uncultured bacterium. RNAcentral describes it as "partial 16S ribosomal RNA". It matches the Rfam family "Bacterial small subunit ribosomal RNA", at positions 524 to 776 of the family's 1533-position model. The record is from RNAcentral.